This 253-nucleotide ribosomal RNA is filed under the name uncultured bacterium. Its description in RNAcentral is "partial 16S ribosomal RNA". It matches the Rfam family "Bacterial small subunit ribosomal RNA", at positions 524 to 776 of the family's 1533-position model. The record is from RNAcentral.
UACGUAGGGUGCGAGCGUUGUCCGGAAUUAUUGGGCGUAAAGAGCUUGUAGGCGGCUUGUCGCGUCGUCUGUGAAAUCCCGAGGCUCAACCUCGGGCCUGCAGUGGGUACGGGCAGACUGGAGUGCGGUAGGGGAGAAUGGAAUUCCUGGUGUAGCGGUGGAAUGCGCAGAUAUCAGGAGGAACACCGGUGGCGAAGGCGGUUCUCUGGGCAUGAUCUGACGCUGAGGAGCGAAAGUGUGGGGAGCGAACAGG